GAUGCAUCAAAGAUUGGGUUACUCCAUGAUCAGGUCAAAAGGUUGCUGAGAAUCUUCUUGAAAAGAAUUGUGAAGACAUCGGUCAUUGUUGCACACACAGAUGUAACACAAGUUCCAUAUGAUGUUGGUGACAAUUUCCUUCCAGAUGAUAAACUUGUUGUGGGACUGCCAUGCAGAGGUUACAUUGCAGACCACCAAGAUGAAAUUGGUGUUGAAACAGAAAAGAAAUUGUACAGAACAGCCAGAAACUUUUAUAUAAAGAUAGUAUCCAAGAUGGUUGAUAAGUUUCCCUUCUCAGACACCACCUUGCAGGACAUUGCUUUUAUAAACCCUAGGAUGAAAACCAAGAUAGUAUCUGACUCUGUUACAAAGCUGGCUAACAGGUUUCCGGAGGCCAUAGGGUGUGAAAAUACAGCAGAACUUCUAGACCAGUUUACAGAGUACCAGCUGUUAUCUCCUGAUGAUCUUCUCACCUUUGACCAGGACAUAUCAUCAUUCUGGGGAGAAAUGGCAGAAGUUGAUGACAUCUUCAAUGAUAAAAAACAUUUUAACACACUCUCAAAGCUUGCUAAAGCAUUUUUAGUUUUACCAAACAGUAAUGCUGAUUGUGAAAGAGCCUUUUCGAUAAUCAAAAAGAUAUAUACAGAAUUUAGAUCUGAGCUGAACAAUGACACAUUAUGUGCACUGUUGUCAUGCAAAUUUAAUGAAACUGACAGUUGCUAUGAGUAUCAGCCCAGUUGUGAUGUGCUGAAAGCAGCAAAACAGGCCACCAUUGAAUAUAAAAAAAGUUUACAGCUAAGAAUGUUGUUUCUUUUUACAUUAAAAAAAUUGUAUUAAAGAUAAAAGAAGGUGUGGUAUGAGUGCCAAUGAGACAACUCUCCAUCCAAGUCACAAUUUGUUCAUUUUAACUAGUCCGCAUCGACGUCACACGUUUUUACACGCUUUUUGACAUGUCAUGUCAUGACAUGAUUUCUCAUUGUCAGAGGUUGGCAAGUAUGGUCUAGUGGGAUCAAAAGGUUAUAUGUAGGGACUGCAACAAUUUCGUGUAUAAUUUUGUAGAAGAAGACAAGUCUGUAUCGUAAACGCCUAAUUUCAAGUGGGUACCA
Long non-coding RNA from Mytilus californianus (California mussel), 1106 nucleotides. RefSeq lists it as uncharacterized. The transcript is spliced from 3 exons. The record is from RefSeq and is a predicted model, not a curated record. NCBI's taxonomy places the organism in Eukaryota, Metazoa, Mollusca, Bivalvia, Mytilida, Mytilidae.